UCCUGGAUGGCUCAAUUGGUGGAGCGCUCCACUUGAAAUGGAGAGGUUCCGGGUUCGAUACCCAAACCAGGCG
This 73-nucleotide transfer RNA is filed under the name Ixodes scapularis (black-legged tick). It matches the Rfam family "tRNA". Rfam says of the family: Transfer RNA (tRNA) molecules are approximately 80 nucleotides in length. The record is from Rfam by way of RNAcentral. Lineage: Eukaryota; Metazoa; Arthropoda; Arachnida; Ixodida; Ixodidae.